UUGAGUAUUUUGACUCUUAUUCAUCAAUAGUAAUCUGAUUUAUAUAAUUAUAAUAGUUUUGAUUUUCAUAAGUAUAACUGAAUUUGUUAUUGAGUUGGAAAAAUCAGAUUUUUUUGUUUAAGUAAAAGAUUGAAUCUUUCAUAUUGUAAUAUAUAUUGAGAUGUGAUAUGAAACUUAAUAAUCAAUUUAUGGCUUCUUUCAUCUUUUGUUAGAAUAUAAUAUGUAGAAGUACUUAAAUCAGGUUUUUAGUUUAAUAUAGGUUGUGAGCUGAAUUUUAUUGAACAUUGUUGUGUGAUCGAUUAGGGGUAGAAUUAUGAUUCUAAGCCAUGUAAAAUCAAUUGGCAGAGUUGAGGAUUCAAGAAUUGGAAUCUUGAUUUUAGAUAAUGUAGGAAAUGGAAUUGGUUAUGGUGUUGCUUCCUAGUUUCAGAAUACUUUGAGGAUAGUUAAUAAUUAUUGUCAUUGUGGGCAUGUUAAGUUAUUUGUUAUCUCUUUGGAAAGAUGGUAAUUGAAUGAGAUUAGUUUGAGAAUCCUAAUUAAUUAUGCUAUUUUUGGUUUGAGGUGAUUAUUGUGGAGUUCAAGCUGGAUUUGGAUGAAUUAUGAUUCUUGGAGGUCUCGUAUUAUUGUUAUUAAAUUUAUCUUGAAGUGAUCAUCGUUGAGGUUUGUAUUGGGAGCAUAGUGGAUCAGAAAUAAAGAAUUGGUGAUAAAAAUGAAGUUAGAUAUAGAUAUAUAAUUGUUGAAUAUUAAGCUCUCAUUUGAUAUUUAAGUAUUGUACUGUUUUGGGAUUUGAGUAAUGUAUUAUAAAUCAGGUAUUGGUUUGAGGACGAUGUGUUGUGGGCCCUGACCCACAGGUCCAGGAUCGUUUUAUAGCUAUGUUUUCCGCUGCGAGUUAAUGUAAUUCGAGGUUAUUAAGUGUUAAUUGAAUUUUA
Molecule: long non-coding RNA, 926 nt
Organism: Beta vulgaris subsp. vulgaris (sugar beet)
Lineage: Eukaryota; Viridiplantae; Streptophyta; Magnoliopsida; Caryophyllales; Amaranthaceae
Exons: 2
Source: RefSeq, a predicted model, not a curated record